CUUACCUGGGCUUGACAUGCGCGAAGUAGGACCCGGAAACGGGAACGACUCGUCAAGGCGAGAGCGCGCACAGAUGCUGCAUGGCUGUCGUCAGCUCGUGCCGUGAGGUGUUGGGUUAAGUCCCGCAACGAGCGCAACCCUCGUCGCCAGUUACCUGUCUGGCGAGACCGCCGGGUACAACCCGGAGGAAGGUGGGGAUGACGUCAAGUCAGCACGGCUCUUACGUCCAGGGCUACACACACGCUACAAUGGUCGGGACAACGGGCAGCSAAGGGGCGACCCGGAGCGAAUCCCAGCAAACCCGGCCUCAGUGAGGAUCGGAGGCUGCAACUCGCCUCCGUGAAUGCGGAGUUGCUANNAACCGCGA
RNAcentral lists this ribosomal RNA (367 nucleotides) under uncultured bacterium. RNAcentral describes it as "bacterial SSU rRNA". It matches the Rfam family "Bacterial small subunit ribosomal RNA", at positions 970 to 1347 of the family's 1533-position model. The record is from RNAcentral.